RNAcentral lists this long non-coding RNA (264 nucleotides) under Mytilus galloprovincialis (Mediterranean mussel). Lineage: Eukaryota; Metazoa; Mollusca; Bivalvia; Mytilida; Mytilidae. The record is from RNAcentral.
GGUUGGUUGGCCGGGUCACUAGACACAAUUUUUAAACUAGAUACCCCAAUGAUGAUUGUGGCCAAGUUUGGUUAAAUUUGGCCCAGUAGUUUCAGAGGAGAAGAUUUUUGUAAAAGAUUACUAAGAUUUACGAAAAAUGGUUAAAAAUUGACUAUAAAGGGCAAUAACUCCUAAAGGGGUCAACUGACCAUUUUGGUCAAGUUAACUUAUUUGUAAAUCUUACUUUGCUGAACAUUAUUGCUGUUUACAGUUUAUCUCUGUCUA